GCCUUCGUGGUGUAAUGGUCAGCACACUCGGCGCGUAUUCGAGAGGUCCAGGGUUCGAGUCCCGGCGAGGGCA
Molecule: transfer RNA, 73 nt
Filed under: Stegodyphus mimosarum
Lineage: Eukaryota; Metazoa; Arthropoda; Arachnida; Araneae; Eresidae
Rfam family: tRNA
About the family: Transfer RNA (tRNA) molecules are approximately 80 nucleotides in length. Their secondary structure includes four short double-helical elements and three loops (D, anti-codon, and T loops).
Source: Rfam by way of RNAcentral